ACAGUAGCCGACGCUUUAUAAAUUGAAGUAGCCUGCGCACUGCUUACUCAAACUUGAAACACAUGAACAUUUGAGAGAACCUAGUCGCGCGAUUUGAUGACGUUGUCAACAAUAUCACCGGUCACUGCUAGAAUGGAUACGAUUUUGUAAAAGUGACGCCACAGUCCCGUUUGUGCCAAUCGAGUUGCAUCAGGUAUAGUAUUUUACUUGUCUACAAGAUUUAGAAGACAGUCUGGGCCAUUAUAAACAGGAGACAAGGACCACAUUUGUUGUAAACAAAAAUGAUAAACCGUCUGCACAGAAGGAUCUCGCAUCAUGAAAAAACUUGCAUUGGGAACUAAAAUAUGUUCCCUAUGACAGAACCCCCUUCCUGGUGGUCGGGAGGAGAACCUACGCCUGCCACCAGGGCGAGGAUAAACAUGCGAGUGAUAAGAAGAGGGAAGCAGAAAUGAACAGGAGGCCGAGGAGAAAAGCACAAUACCAAGAGGCUGAGAACAAGGUAAAACAAGGUGAAGAGAAAGGCGAGCACAUUUAGGGGAGAGGAGUGGUGAGUCAAAAGAGGGGAGGGAAGAGAAAAAAGGAAGAGAAUAGGGGUGGAUAGGGUACGACUUUAUAUUAGGUAAGGGUUCCACUCUUUUAAAGACUUCCAGUUAUUUGUUGUUUUUAAAGGGGGAAAAAUAAAAAUGAAAUUAAGCAGCCAA
Molecule: long non-coding RNA, 701 nt
Organism: Salvelinus namaycush (lake trout)
Lineage: Eukaryota; Metazoa; Chordata; Actinopteri; Salmoniformes; Salmonidae
Exons: 4
Source: RefSeq, a predicted model, not a curated record